GGAGAAGUCUGACAGUUCCCAUCAAUUCUAUUAUCAGUCCCACAUAUGAAGAAGUGGUCAAAGGGGAGGGGAUGCCUAUCCCGAAGGAACCUUCCAAAAGGGGAAACUUGAAAAUCAAGUUUAACAUCAAGUUCCCUACCAAGCUUACCUCAGAGCAGAAAACUGGCAUCAAACGGUUAUUAACAUCUUCAUAGAGGCUGGUGGUAGCUCUCCCUACCAUCUACCAAACUUGUGAAAGCUUGCAUUUGUUUGGUUUGCUAGUAUUUUUGUUCUUUUUGUUUUCUGGAUUGGAAAUUCACGCCUUGUUGAAUUUGGGGAUUUGAUCACAGCAUUUGACUAGGAGGUUGUUAAUUUCCACAUUCCAUUUCUCUUCUUUUCCAAUCUUUUCUUAACUUAUGUAGAAAUGCUGGAUAGACAAGAAAUUGACACUUGAAAUUUGUAAACUAUUUGUUAAGCUCUUUAGGGUAUUUACCCCUUAAAAUUCCCCUCUUCCCCUCCUUCUCCCCUCUUUGCUUCUGCAUCUACCACUCUCUCUGAGUCUACUGUGUAGAUAUUUGUAUUGUGUGACUUGUGUACUAGUAAGAUUGUCAAAGUUGGGCUGGGUAGGUGAGGAAAUGGGUUAGGAUUAGGCUAGUUUAGGGUUUUAUUUUCCUUCCAUUCUAAUCCAAACAGAAAAAGAAGAAGCAACCGGGACGAGUCGUUUAUCGUUAUAGUCCUACAAGCAUAGGCAGCCCAUUUGUAUAAGGAAUGCAACUGAGGAACGAACUGAACUGAAGCCAGACUUCUCUUUUCCUUGUAUUUGGUAAAGAAAAUUGGAAUGAACCAACUACUAAAGUCUUCCACUUAUCUUCUUCGAAAGUCUUGGCCACUAUCAAAGAGAAAAAUACUACCUACUCUAUUAGUUUAGCAUUAAUCUAAUAACACGAAAAUUAAACAAGAGGGGCAUAGCUUUUUCUCUUACAUGAUCAUUCACAUCAUAAAAACUGAACCCUCGGGAAGUCUUCUUUAUUUAUUUAUUUUUUUGGGUUCGGUCGGAAAACCCUCGAGGAAGUUCACAGCAAAAAGUUUCGAACUUUCCUGAAGUGGUAAGCCACGUGUAAGCUGGUGAACAAAACAGUUUUGCUGCUACAGUCGCUUGACCUACUGUAUGUAGCUAGCAAUUCUUGUGGUGGUCAAUGGUGCUUUGCUUUCUGUUCUGCCUUGUCUAGGAAGUCUUGCAAAAUUACCCUUUUGGACCCCUUGGCUUUGCAUAUUCCAUCCAUGAUUGUGAUUGAGAGAGAGCUCUGUUUCUUUUGGCUGCCACCCAUCAAUGAUUGAGCUCGCCAUAUAAAUAUGGUGGCUACUUGAACAAGCUUCAGCCACUAACCGGAGUUUACAGGGACAGAAAAUCCAAGGCUUUUCUUACCAGGGAGAUAGAGAGUCAUGGGCGCCGAUUACUAUAAGAUUCUUCAAGUACCACGAAACGCCAGUGAAGUUGACUUGAAGGAAGCUGCCGAGGCCAAAUUCAACCAACUCUGCCAAGCCUACGACGUAUGUUAUUGUAAUGUCAUCUUUUUAAUUUUACUUCGGAACAAAAAUUUCUCAAAAUUCCCUCCUAAAAUUUAUUGCUAAUCAAAUAUUGGGCAGGUUUUGAGCGAUCCUCGAAAGCGAGCAGUGUACGAUCAGUACGGCGAGGAGGGUUUGAGUGGAGGGUCAAGGCCGGGCGGGUCUCGGAGCCCAGAAGAUAUAUUCGCGGAGUUUUUUGGAGGGAGAGGCGGCGGCAUGGGCCAGUCACGGGAUGACGGGUUUCGGGACCCGGACGAUGUGUUCUCCGACUUUUUUGGACAGAGGGUUAACAUGGGCGAGUCACGGGCCGGUGGUUCUCGGUCUCGGAGCCCCGAAAUCAGGAGUAUGAAUGGCGAAAAUAUAUUCGAGUCGCUUAUAGCCGCAGCGGAGGGCAAUGGUCGGCAGAGGAAAGCAGCGGCGAUAAAGAGGACAUUGCCUUGCAGCUUGGAGGAGUUGUACAUGGGCAACACCAGAAAGAUAAAGAUUUCUAAGGAUGUUGUUGGUGCUAGUGGGUAAGAAAUGAACAAAUACCUCACAACUUCACAAGACAAGAUCAUGUGCCUCUAUUUGGUUUAUCUUGUCAUUGAUCUACUUACCCUUUUGUAUCCUUCUAAUUUACUGAAAAAUUGAAAAGGAUUUUAAAGAAUUCGGACUUGUUUUGUUUUGUUUGGUCCUACAGAAGAAGAAGCACAGUGGAGGAAGUUGUAAAUAUUGAGAUCAAGCCUGGUUGGAAAAAGGACACCAAAAUCACUUUCCCAGAGAAAGGGCAUGAUGUAGAGCGAGGUGUUAUACCAGCCGACAUCAUCUUUAUCAUUGAGGAGAAGCCUCAUAGUUUUUUCAAGAGGGAUGGGGAUGAUCUCGUUGUCACUCAGAACAUUUCUCUUGCGGACGCUCUGACAGGACACACAGCGCUGAUGACAACGCUUGACGGGAGAAAUCUGCGGGUCUCCAUUGAUUCGAUCAUCGGUCCCACCCACGAAGAAGUGGUUAAAGGGGAAGGAAUGCCUAUCCAGAAGGAACAAGGCAAAAAGGGUAACUUGAUUCUCAAGUUUAACAUCAGGAUCCCCAAGCUUACCUCAGAGCAGAAAACUAGCAUCAAACAAUUGUUAACAUCUUUGUAAAUGUUGAUUGUACCAUCGAAGUUUUUCUUCUGCUUUUCAUUUUCUCUGCACCCAAACAAUAACUUUCUAGGUUUCCCUUCGCCAUCUACCAAGCUUUCCUGAUU
This 2770-nucleotide long non-coding RNA is filed under the name Prunus persica (peach). Its description in RNAcentral is "long non-coding RNA (PPER_LNC006654)". The record is from RNAcentral. Lineage: Eukaryota; Viridiplantae; Streptophyta; Magnoliopsida; Rosales; Rosaceae.